GUGGGGAAUUUUGGACAAUGGGCGCAAGCCUGAUCCAGCAAUGCCGCGUGCAGGAAGAAGGCCUUCGGGUUGUAAACUGCUUUUGUACGGAACGAAACGGUCCGGGUUAAUACCCUGGGCUAAUGACGGUACCGUAAGAAUAAGCACCGGCUAACUACGUGCCAGCAGCCGCGGUAAUACGUAGGGUGCAAGCGUUAAUCGGAAUUACUGGGCGUAAAGCGUGCGCAGGCGGUUUUGUAAGACAGGCGUGAAAUCCCCGGGCUCAACCUGGGAAUUGCGCUUGUGACUGCAAGGCUGGAGUGCGGCAGAGGGGGAUGGAAUUCCGCGUGUAGCAGUGAAAUGCGUAGAUAUGCGGAGGAACACCAAUGGCGAAGGCAAUCCCCUGGGCCUGCACUGACGCUCAUGCACGAAAGCGUGGGGAGCAAACAGGAUUAGAAACCCCGGUAGUCC
This 450-nucleotide ribosomal RNA is filed under the name uncultured bacterium. RNAcentral describes it as "bacterial SSU rRNA". It matches the Rfam family "Bacterial small subunit ribosomal RNA", at positions 354 to 796 of the family's 1533-position model. The record is from RNAcentral.